This 265-nucleotide ribosomal RNA is filed under the name uncultured Alphaproteobacteria bacterium. Its description in RNAcentral is "partial 16S ribosomal RNA". It matches the Rfam family "Bacterial small subunit ribosomal RNA", at positions 60 to 358 of the family's 1533-position model. The record is from RNAcentral. Lineage: Bacteria; Pseudomonadati; Pseudomonadota; Alphaproteobacteria.
AGUCGAGCGCCCGCAAGGGGAGCGGCAGACGGGUGAUUCACCGUGGGAACAACAAGAAGGUACGGAACAACUCCGGGAAACUGGAGCUAAUACCGUAUGUGCCCGAAAGGGGAAAGAUUUAUCGCCUUCAGAUGGGCCCGCGUCGGAUUAGAUAGUUGGUGAGGUAAUGGCUCACCAAGGCGACGAUCCGUAGCUGGUCUGAGAGGAUGAUCAGCCACACUGGGACUGAGACACGGCCCAGACUCCUACGGGAGGCAGCAGUGGG